UACGGAGGAUCCAAGCGUUAUCCGGAUUUAUUGGGUUUAAAGGGUGCGUAGGCGGUUUGAUAAGUUAGAGGUGAAAUACCGGGGCUUAACUCCGGAACUGCCUCUAAUACUGUUGAACUAGAGAGUAGUUGCGGUAGGCGGAAUGUAUGGUGUAGCGGUGAAAUGCUUAGAGAUCAUACAGAACACCGAUUGCGAAGGCAGCUUACCAAACUAUAUCUGACGUUGAGGCACGAAAGCGUGGGGAGCAAACAGG
Molecule: ribosomal RNA, 253 nt
Filed under: uncultured bacterium
Lineage: Bacteria
Description: partial 16S ribosomal RNA
Rfam family: Bacterial small subunit ribosomal RNA
Source: RNAcentral